This 3153-nucleotide ribosomal RNA is filed under the name Triticum aestivum (bread wheat). RNAcentral's name for it is "partial small subunit ribosomal RNA". The record is from RNAcentral. Lineage: Eukaryota; Viridiplantae; Streptophyta; Magnoliopsida; Poales; Poaceae.
AUGGAGAUUAGCAAGAGGAUCCCCGUCUCGCGGCGGAUUAGUCCUCUCGGCGUCUUUUGUCUCUGUCUCUGCUGCGUCACCUCGUCCGCGGUCCAGCCGUCCCGCCGAGGCGAGCUCCCCACGUCGUUCGGACGUCCGGUCGUUCCCCAUGACUACCUCCGGGCAGCCGACGUGGCGCAGCAGUGCCGGUCCGUGCUCUCCUCAGGGGCCGAGCUUACGGCUGACGGCCCCAUGGUUCAGGAUCUACACUUCGCCAACGGCGACUGGCGCCAAGACGCCGGCCACGCACCGCUGAUGCCGUUCCCUGGCACUGCCAGCGGCGACGUUGGUGCCGGUACCGAGUUGGCCACCCCUCUCGCGACCUUCAUGCUCACGCACGCCGACACAGUGCAGCGGCAGCGCGCGAGACGCUCCCUCAACGUCAGCGGGGUGCUCACCUUGACCAUCAGCCGCAACUGCUGCUGUUCCGACGACAAGUCUGAGAUGAUGGAUCCACACAGUGGCCGGCGUCCGUCACCGGAGUUCAAGCUCCUUCCUCGUAUUGCCAAGCUCAAGAUACUGCUGGAAGGCGUCUACACGGAGGCUGGUGGUGGCGAGAGGGUGCUGUGCAUGGUCGGGAAUGCUCCCCUCCCCAUGCGCGGCGGGGGCGGCGGCGGCAACACCACGGAGGGGCCGUGGGACUGGGCCAAGAAUAUCGGCGAUGGCAGCAACAACUUCGAGCUGCCGGUCGUCGCCGAUGACAAUAUAGUGCUCAUUCUACGGUACCCAAAGGCGCAGACAUUGACAACCCGGGCGGUGCACGGCGAGAUGAUGAGCACGAGCGCCAAGUCGGACAGCGUGUACUUCGACACUGUCCGGCUGGUUUCGCAGUUCGGCGGCCCAUACGCCCGUUACCGGUUCCGGCCGGAGGAGGAAGACACAACUGGGUGCAGCACGUCUCCCUUGUUCUUCUGCGACGACGACGUCGCCGGUGGCUGUGCAGGGGACCUGCACGAAGACGUCCCUUUCUGCGACAUCCUUCGUGCCAACGAGCAUGGCGUGCUCGCCGUCGUCCCCAACUGGAACUGCGACUCCACCGAUGAGUUCUGCGGUCGACUGGGACCCUUUGUGAACACGACGGACAGGGCGUUCACGGGUUUUGCCAUCGUGAUGCAAGGCGUUCGGUGCGAGCCGACGAGCGGGCUGGACGGCAAGGCGGCCGUUCUGGUGUCGGCCGUGUUCCGCGCCAUGCCGCCAUGGGAGGACCAGGAAACUGCGGUGAAGCGUGCUGGGCUGAGCGGCAUGACGCUGUCGGCGGAGGGCGUGUGGAGAGUGUCUACCGGGCGGCUUUGCAUGACGGCCUGCCUGGGCACCGGCACCGGCACCGGCAAGGCUGCGUGCCAGCACCGUGUCUCCUUGUACAUCUCCACCACAUUCUCCAUCACCCGCCGCGGCAUCCUCAUGGGGCAGAUAACAUCCAUGGAUGGCAGUCAUUUCCCGCUGUCGUUCCACCGAGCAUUGCAUCCCAGACAGGCCUGGAACAAGGCUGGCGGCUCCGACGAGUGGGUGCGCAUGACGUACAGCUACAACAAGGUGGAGCAGGCCAUGGAGCUUCUCUGGAGGACCAAGCCCUCCAGGAUCUCCAGCAACCUUGCCGCCAUGUCUCUGAUUAGCUACCCAAGGAAACGUGCCCAUGGUGACACGGCGAGCCUCUCCCAAGAUCUCCAACUCCGAUUCCGGGUCGUGCCAAAGCUUCACCCUGUACCAGAAUGGAUCAUCAAGGGACAAUCCUCUGAGCGCUUCUUUGAGCUGCAGAUAUUCUCGAUUGGCCCGCUCGUCAGCUACGUGCCCCGCCAGCAGCAAGAGAGAUGGCAAGAUCAAGAUGGCGUGGAGCAGCGGCAGGAACUAGUGAACGUGUCGGCCGUGCUCACGGAGUCCGGCGGGGUCUUUGGAUGGCGCCCGGUGAUGUCGCUGGAGGGCGUGUACAACCCGGAGGACGGGCGGAUGCACCUGGUGGGCUGCCGAGACGUCGAGGCCCCAUGGCAGGUCAUGUCAAAGAUGAGCGACCUUGAAAGCGGGAUGGACUGCUCCAUCGAGCUGCAAGUGGAGUACCCGCCGACGAAGAUGCGGUGGCUGUUCAGCCCAUCGGCCAAGGUUUACAUGUCCAGCACAAGGGCGGCCGGCGACCCGCUGCACUUCAACCGGACCGAGCUCCCAGCGCUGCAAUCCUUUUACCCCGGGACGAGGUUUGACGGAUUCGUGGGGCAGAACGUGGGGGGGAUCGUCUGCCUCGCCAUGUUGUCGGCCACAAUCGUCGCCGCCAUGAGCCAGCUGCGCUACAUGGAUUCCCACCCGGACGUCGUGCCGUACAUCUCCCUCGCUAUGCUCGGCGCCCAGGCGCUCUGCUACAGCGCGGUGCUGGUCACGGACGCCAUGAUCCUACCCGCGUGGCCGAGGAUGUACGACGGCGACGGCAACUACAGGACGCACGUCCGGCGCUUGCACUGGGACAUGGACUGCUCCAUCAAAGCCCUCGCCCUAGUGGCGCUCCUCCUCACGCUGCGCCUGGCGCGCAAGGUGCGGCGGUCGAGGGUCCGCGCGCGGGCGCGGACGCCCCUUGAGCCAGGACGCGUCCCGAGGGACGGAGCCGGGCUGCACCUUGGCGGCCUCCUGUUCGUCCUCGCCGUGCACUGGCUGCUGGCCACGUACGGCGGCGCGUCGACCAAGCAGCCGCCGCAUGUGGCGUACACCAUGCAAGCACAGGGCCAGGGGGGAUUCUAUAGCCGGCCCUCGUACAAUAUGGCCGCCAUUGUCGAGCGGUGCAUCAGCCUGGCGAGGGAAUGGUUCCUGCUGCCGCAGGUCAUGGGAAACGCCGUGUGGCGCGUCAACUGCCGGCCUCUGAGGAAGAGCUACUAUGCCGGAAUCACCGGCAUGUCGCUGCUGCCACACGUCUAUGGGUUCCUCCGCCCGCCUCCCGCGGUUGACAUGUACCCUGUCCCUGAGGAGGCCCAAGACGGCGCCAUGGACUUGUACCCCAAGGUUGGUGGCGUGGUGGUGCCCCUCGUCGCGGCAGCGCUCGCGUUCUUGGUCUACGUGCAGCAGCGCUGGAACUACAGGAUCCUAGGGUGGGUGAUAGUGGGGAAGGAGAAGAAUAAGAUGCAGCACGUGUACUGA